Molecule: ribosomal RNA, 178 nt
Filed under: uncultured bacterium
Lineage: Bacteria
Description: partial 16S ribosomal RNA
Rfam family: Bacterial small subunit ribosomal RNA
Source: RNAcentral
ACUCCAUGAAGCUGGAUUCGCUAGUAAUCGCGCAUCAGCCACGGCGCGGUGAAUACGUUCCCGGGCCUUGUACACACCGCCCGUCAAGCCAUGGAAGCCGGGAGUGCCUGAAGUACGCGACCGCAAGGAGCGUCCUAAGGUAAAACCGGUGACUGGGGCUAAGUCGUAACAAGGUACC